RNAcentral lists this long non-coding RNA (639 nucleotides) under Chinchilla lanigera (long-tailed chinchilla). RNAcentral describes it as "lncRNA (ENSCLAG00000027676.1)". The record is from RNAcentral. Lineage: Eukaryota; Metazoa; Chordata; Mammalia; Rodentia; Chinchillidae.
CCUCACUGCACAACUAUAGGGACACAGUUCACAGAGAAUGCAGUGGUCUCCUGAGUGGCCGUAUGGGAAGAUUUGGAGGAAAAUUUUGUCCAUCAUUCAUGGAGAAGACAGAAGUGCUGCAGCAAAGAGGCUGGGAGAACAACGCAUGCCCAGAGUGUUGUUAGAGUUUGAACCUCCUAAAGGGCAAUCCUGUUGCUAAGGAAACUGCUGCUCCAGAAAUGCUCAAUGCAGAGAUAAAGAGAAGGAAAGAAAGGGACAACCAGUCCUACGCUUGGGGGAAGGGCGGUGUGACGCUGCCUGGGAACUCCUAAACCUUCAUUGGUGAGAAGCAUCAAAGUCUCUAUAGUGGGAAAAACCAAGCACCUUUACACUUUCCUAGAAAACAUCUGGGUAGCAUUUAAGGAACUCUUAGACUACAUUUGAAUUUUAUUUUUCUCUGCACAAGCAGGACAACUGAGUGAUUGUCAAUGUUGUAUUAAUACUCGCAUUUAGGAGGUUUAUAGCAGUUCUCCAAAUGUAAUCACCUUCGUUUUUAGUACACAGUACCAUUAAAACAGAUUCGUAGUGCUCAAAAGCAUCUUUUGAUUUAUUUUAUAUUUGAUGAUCACUGUGAAUGGGUUAGAGUUGUAGAUGUAGUCA